AAUUUAAAAAGUUAGACAACUUGCUAAGGAAUUGUUUGAUUUCCAAAAAAAUCUUUGAAAACAACUAAUCUGUGAAAAAUAUGUAAAACAACUAAGGAAGUAUUAAUUAGAAAAAAAAUCCAGAUUCUGUAGAAAAACAAUAUUUUUAUUUUUAAAUGUUUUAUUAAAAAAAAUAAAAAUGGUAAAAAAUUUAUUUUGCUUAUGUAUCCAAAUAAUAGUUUUAUGUAUUUUGUUUCCAGAAUCUAAACAACCCAUAAUUACCAGUGUUUUAAAAAAUUAGGUUUGCACCAACUUGCCCAAUCAAUCGGACUGCGACCGGGUCCUUAAGCCGGUUUGAUUUGAUCCAUAAAAUCGAAAAUAUUUAAAAUUCUUAUUGAUCUAUCUGAAAUGACGGUUCAACUAGUAAACUAGCCUACCGACCGUCCCUAGAGCAAGUGGUAAAAGAUUUGGUGGUUGGUAUUCGAGACCCAAGUUCGAAUCCUAGUUGAUUCACAUUUCUAGUUAAGUUUAUUUCUGAAUGAAAUAAAAGAAACAGAUAGCGAGCUAUCUGCCUCUCUCAAAAAAAAAUAAAAAAAGAAAAACCUAGUAAACUAACCUCAUUUUAAUUGGACUGAUGAUUUGAUUAGUUCAGUUUAAUUUUUUUCAAAAAAUUAUAAAUAUAUUUUAUUUAAUUUAUUUAUAAUAUUAUUUUGAUUUUGCUGGUUUGAUCGGUCGAACCACAAAUUUGAUCAGUUAAAUUAAAGAGACCUAUCAAUUUUUCUUUUUUCUUUUUUCUUUUUUCUUUUUUGGGUUUGUGCAAUCGAUUUCAAAUUUUAAAAUAUAAGAAAUUGUCCUGCAUGGUGCAUUUUCAAUGUACAACAACAAAAAAGCGCCGUCCCAAAAAUUUGAACAAAGGAGGCGCCAAAAUUGUAAGGGAAUUUUGGGAGGGCGUAGUAGAGCUGUACAGUUACACCAGUAAUUGCGUUGCACCUCUGGAUACAACACACAACCGACGCGUACGAUGCGGUGGAUCGCGCUAGUAUCUGAUCGUACGGCCGUUAUACCUCGCCCCAUACGACAUGAUGUGAUGCGAUCUUUUUCCAAACCGACGACGCUGAUUUGAUUGGACGACCCUGUUAUCUGAUCCGCGACGGACAUGUUUUGCUCCCGUGGGUGGGAGAUUGUUGUUUCCAAUUCGAAAUGAAAUAUACAAAAAAAACAAAUUAUUAUUAUUUUUUAUUUUACGGAUUUUGAAAAAAAAAAUGGAGUCUUGAUUUUUCGUUGUUUUUAAUAAAAACGAAAACUCAAACUAUAAAAAAAAAAUUAUUUUUUUUUAUCAAAAUAAAUAUGUGUGAAUUUUUUUUCUUUCAAACUAAAUAAAUCUAAAUUGUUUUUAUAUAAAAAAAUUAUUUUUUUUAUGGAUUUACUAUUUAGGUAAAAAUUGUGUGGUGUGGUGCGGUGCGGGUCCUAUUGGUCGCUGCGACCCGCGAUGGGCGGCGCGCGGUAAGGGAAACGGGUUCGAAUUUCGGUGCGGGUCCCACCCGCACAUGGGAGAUCGUAGUAGCACUCGUUCCAUGCACCGGGUUCGCCGGGCUUUUCGUGGGCCGUCUAAGUGGGCCCAGCCCUCGGAUCACUAGAACCUCGUUCGGACGGUGGGGAUUCGAAGAAAAUAUUGAUGGAGGGUGGAUGAUUUGUACGGUCCACAGCUGAGGUCAGUGAACAUGGUUCGUGUAGUAAUUUCACCGGUGACAGCUGUAGCUACUUAGGAGGAUAUGAAAAGGUAGAAAUAUUUAGGAUCGAAAAGGACUACGUAGAGUUGUUGCCCUACACGGCUAAAUGCUAAUAAUAAUAAUAAUAAUAAUAAUAAUAAUGGUGUACUACUCGGAUGGGCCUUUUAGUUUCAUAUAAUUAUAAAUAUAAUAUAUUUAAAAAUAUAAUAAUAAUUAUUACAUAUAUUUUAUAAUAUAUUUAAAAUAUAAUAAUUAUUAUUAUAUAUAUUUUAUUUAGUUGGUAUUAUUAAAAGUACUGUAAUUAUAGAUAAUCAUUUUAAUUGUAUUAAGUCUAUUUAUAAAAUUUUAUUAUUUUAUAUGUUGGACAUGGAGGCUAUCCUUUAUAUAGGAAAAAAAAUAUUUUUUUGUGAAAAGUAAUUAUAAGGAGGUAAGCUUUUUUUAUUUUAUUUACGACUACCUUCUCCAAUUGAUACAAUUGAGCUCUCUCGUACAGUUAAAAUCAAGUACAUCAAAUCAAACUAAGUACUGAAUUUGGAUCUGUAUUUAUUUAUUACUGUAAUGCAAUCAAACAACCUCUUAAUUUUGUGUCACCUGUUUAUAAUAUAUGGACGCUAUAAUGGGAGAAGUUUUUGUUUUGUAGCCCAUAUAUGUUAAUUCCAUGCAUCAAGUUGUUAUUUGAUUUUUUUUGGGUGCUUAAAUGUUAUUGAAGCGCAAACCAAACAGUGAAAAUUUCUAUACUCAAUAUUGUUAAUGAAGAGUAUUAAAAUAUAUAGCCUUGUAACGAAAUAUCACCUAGGACAUGGGAAAAUAUACAUAUACUUUGGGCGUAUUAAAAAUGUAUAAAGAUAGUAUUUUGGUGACCAAUGAAAAGUAGUGUAUGAAAGUGGCCGAAGAUGGCUAUCUUUUGAACCCUUGAGUAGUUGAGUGAUCCUUAAGUUUGCUAAAAUUUGUAGCUCAUCUUUUUUCUCCUAGAUUUUCUUUAUUAUCUCCAAGCAAAUUAAAUAACUUGUGUGGUCGAAAAGAAGCCAACAUUGUACAGAAAAGCCAAUAUGUGAUCAUCAAUCUCAAUAUAUACAUAUAUAUCUAUAUAUCAGGUGGAGCCACAAACUCAUUGGAGGAUUUGGAGGGGCCUACCAUGUUCUCUUUGCUUCUCUUUAUAUUGCUCAUAUCCUAAGCAUUAGGUUGGAAUUUUUAUUGACCAAUAUAGCAUCCUCCUUCAGCUGUUCUUAUCCACUUUUGGCUUUACAAGCUGUGGGGGUGUUGCAGGGGUGGGGGUGUGAGGUGUUUUGAUGUUCUCAUAUCACUGUACAUGCAUGGUUGCCCAGGUCAAAAUGUAGGUAAUACAUAGUUUGAUUAGAUUUUUGUUCAAUGGUCCAUCUACGUUGUACGCGGCAUGGGGUCCAUCCAAUUUAGGGAGAUCUGUGAUUCGGAGAUCGAUCAUCUUAUUUUUCGGCUUGUUUUUCACUUUAAUAUAUAUGUCGUGUUAGGACUCGUAUGAAUCUAACCGUGCUCGUAUAAUUAAUGUUCGAUUGGUUUAGAGCUUUUGCAGGAAUAAUUUUUCAGAGGAGGUAGAAUUAAGUUUAAAACUAUAUUUUUUGAUUUUAGAGGGUUUGAUCAAAAGCUCAAUCAACAUCCUAUCAAUAGAAUAUCUUACUUUACUGUUUGUUAAGCACCGUAUUGCUACUUCGUAUAGCCAUUAGAUUAGUUUAUUUCGAAAGCCAAACUAGCUAAUUACUAUUAACUUCUUCAAAAACCAAUCCAACACUCCCCUCCUCUAGAUCUCUCUCUCUCUCUCUCUCUCUCUCUCUCUCUUCUUUGGACAUGCAACAACUUCCACUAGCUAAGACAUGAAGCAUCAGUUGCGGCAUUUCUGGCACGUUCAUAUGUCUCCUCUGUUAUGCAUGCUAGCCACUAUGUCCAUGAUGAUUGAUAUACAUAAAAUAUAUAUAUAUAGCUUAUGUUCAUCUUCUAAAAAGCCUAUAGAGCCCCACAUACCCUUCUCCAUUAUUAUUCUAGUUAGGGAGAAAUGCAUGAACAUUGAUCACCAUGCACAUGCAAAUCCUACAUGUAUAUCCCUCUAUAUAUAUAUAUAUAUAUAUACAUCCUUUACACCUAUGAUGAGACUUGUUUACGUUUAAAGAAACCAAGGAUAGAAAGGUGACUACCUUUCAAUCUCCACUAGUAGAACAGUACGGGCCUGUGUACUGUUUAAUUUACUAUUUUUAUGUAGUCCUAACAAUGUAAUUAAUUACACGUAACACACGAAGACCAAAAACAAAUAGUCACCGUUUCUUAAUUUUAAAGGAAAAUAAUUCGAGUAUACAUAUGCAUAAUAAUGAGGAUCUUGUCUAUAAUUGAAUAUCUAUAUAUCUGAAAUGAUAAUCACAAAAUUUUGAGGUCAUAUACUUUGUGGCUUAUGCAUACUAUGAUCUUAUUGGAGUCGGAGCUUUAAAUUCGUCAACAGAUCAUUGAACUAAAGCUUUUCAUCUCUUAAUUUAAACAAAAAAUUUGUGUUUUAAUGUACCGUAUUGUAAAAACAAAAUGUUACAUAUUUGAUUCUUUACUUUCACAUGAUCGUAUUGCCAGGAGAUUUUAGUUGAAUUCAAAUCAUGUCCAAGUCUACACAUCACUUUAGUUUUAACAAUUUUAUCAUUCACCAUAGUUCACAUAUGUCUUUAUCAUGAGAAAAAAGUUUACAAAAUAUUAUCUUAUUAAAAGGCUUGAACUUUUUAACUGAGUCAUGAACUUAAAACCCAUGUUCAAAUUGCUUAUUUUAUUUAGAACAACAUAAUAUAAAAACAAGUUAGGCACAAAUUAAAGCAAAAAAAAAUUAUCCCCUUUUUUUUUUUCCUUUUUAAAAUAUUUGGAUACGAUGACUAAGCGCGGAGUGGUUUAUUAGGCGGGCGGGGGGGCGAUGAAUGGACGGCGCACGAAGGAGCGUUUCGAUUGGGUGGAGGGUGCGUCGCAUGCGGACGCCUGGGACGGAAUCUUUCCAAGGGCGGUCGUAUGCGCCGCCCGUGAGAUACCGUGGAGUGCGGCGUUCGCUUCACGCGCACACAGGUAUGUAUGCGGGCGCCCAAUAUCCAAUGCUUUUGCAUUGGAUUAAUUUCUAAUAACGGCUGUAAUUAUUUUGACGCAUCAGAUUUGAUUAGAUUGGUGGUUACAAUUCGUUUUAUUUAUUUUUUUAAAAAGUAAAUUUAUCUAAAAAUAUGAAAUAAUUAAAUUUCGAAUUUGAAACCUCGAAUACUAACUACCAAAGUUUUUCUCCUUUGCGACUUGCGCUAGGACAGUUGAUAUAAGUAAUUAAAGAUGUAAAUACUCUUCACUCAUCCUAACAAAUAUGUUAUAUGCUGUAGUGCUCCAGUUCCUGCGCGCCCCGACGUGUAAUUGACUAUUAAUUGACAACUGAUGAUGAAAUCUAAGAGGCUUCAAGUACAAGUGAAGGGUUUUACUAUUUAAAUUUCGGGUUUUGGUAGGAGUUGCGUAAGGGUCUAAUUAAAAAAGUAAGGCCUUGAACGGAUUAUUUACAAAUUAGGAUCUGUGAAAAGGAGAAGAAGAAGAAGAAGAGAAACAAAUCCAUUAUCCUUGUCCCCGUUUAGCCUUAGUUGUGAUAUCGCUGUUGGAAGCUCUCUCGUAGGGUCUUCGUUUAUUGCUGUGACUUGGAUGGAGAGCAUUUGUUCAACCACAACACCUAUUACUAACUUAUUUCCUUUCAAAUUGUACGUUGUUGAACAAACCCACUAAGAGUGCUCUACAUUAACAUUCCCUUUGUGCAAGAUGGAGUGUUGCAAUCACUCGCUAUGGUGUCGAUGUUGUUAUCUUAAUCAUACACACGUACGUAAGAGAGUCAUGUGGUGUAUUAGAGGGGGUUCAUCUGUAAGAAACCUAACGCAAUAGAAUUGCCAACAAUUCCAAUUAUUGGAAAGCUUUUUCCAUGGUCUGGGAAAGUCAGUUGCGUUGACAUCAAUCAAUAUUCAGCAACAAAUCAUGCAGUAAGUAGUUAGCCCACCCAACUCAGUAUGUGGCGUUUGAGAUCUGAUAGUGACCAGUUAACCAUGCUAAACCAAUUACGGGUUUGUAACCCAUCGGUUCGGUUCAAGAAACAUGCACAAUAUACACUUUGGUGUUUUUGGUCAAUGUUGAUGUGGCACGGACGAACGUAGGAGUAGGGGCAUGUAUUAGACUAGUUUGUGGACUCGGGCACCCAAACAACCGGGGAUAUAAAUGCAUAGGUAGUAGUUCCUUAACUGUGGACAAAUUAUGAUUUGACCCCUACUAUUUCACUUAAAAUAGACUAGUGAACUUAACAAAUUUGUUGCGGUGUCACCCUAAACGCAUUUUCGAAGCAAUACGUAGAUGUCCGUCCGGAGACCCGCAAACAAACUAACAAAUGGGUAAACUUUUGAAAAUUAAAUACCAUGAAAUCACAGCAAAUUCAGAGUAACACGAACGAUCAAGCAGCAAAUUGUGAUUUGUAAAAAUAACUAUUUAUGGAUUAUAAAAAUCCCCGUUACAGUCCAUUUCGGAGAGAGAAAAAAAAAGCCAUUGGUUAACAUGGUCGGAACUCUCCAGUAUGAGAAAAUAAUUAAUCGACAAACAAGAACGGGGAGUAAAGAAUAAAAUUCUGCAACAAGCAUUACCGAUAACAAUACCUUGUGGAAGCAAAAUCGGAAAAGCAGCAGCCCAAAUCAAUUUCCUGCCCCAGAUUUGGUACUUACUGUAACAAAGAACACAAAGAGGAAAACCGGCUGAGAAAACAAAAACGUGUCCCCAACUUCUAUAGACACCGAAUUUUUCUGCACAUGAAACUUGAUUACAGUUCUAUUUGCAGCCUCCAAAAUAUACACAUGAAAUCGGAGUGAAGAUUCUUUUGCUACCUUCGGAAGAACUUGCGUAAUCUACAACUUGAUCGGAUAAGCUUUAUUAUGAUUUACAUUAUCAGUGACGGUACUCGUAAGGAAGCUUUACAGAUUUUACAUGGAAUAUAAGAAGCCGAAAUCGGAUGCAACAAACUAAUAAUAGUAAAGAAUGCCUAUUGAGCAAUAUACAAGCGGCACAUCAGGAAUAAGACGGGACCUUGUUCCCAUCUUUCCCACUUAAGGAGACCUGCGAUUGACAACAAAAAGUGAAGGAUGGUUGAAAAUGUGCUCUAAAAUCCAAAUUUAUAGAGUUGUUAUUCUUCUACCAAAGAGCAACGAUGAGGUACAGUAAAGCAGCUUCUAGGCAUACAAAGCAACAAUCUGAACAUGAUUACCACUAUUAGUAAGAAAAGCUGCUAAGAUAAAAAGAGUUUAGCAUAGCCAAUUUAGCAUUUCAGGCGGGUGAACAAGAGAAAAAGUUUACCUAAACAGUUUUAACUACUGUAUGAUUCACUGAUUCUGGUAAAGGCGGGAAUAAUUGAAACACAGUUCAAACACGUCACAUUUUCACGAUACCGAAGAUCAAAUUACCCACCGAAAGACUCCAGCUCAAGGUGGCAUCUCCUAAGUGAACGCACCUCUAUAUAUCUAUCCAAAUCCUUCGCGGGUAACCAGGUGUCAAGAAAAAGAAAUUUGAUAUUUCGGAAAUGCAGAAAUAACUAAACCAACACAACACAAAAAUAGAUGUAACGAACCGACCCGCUAGCAAUAAUAACUCGUUGGGCUCAAACCACUAGUCCAAAAUGCUUAAGCCCAGUUAUUAUGUCUAGUGGGUCGGGUCGUUAUAUUUGGUAUCAGAGCCUGAUAACCAGCCGGAAGUGUGAGAUAGAUCUCACAUCGCCUGGUGAAUCUGGAACUAUGUAUAUGAUUGGGUCGGGCUGAUGAGGACGUCAGGACCUAAACGAGGGAGUAUGUAACAUCCCAAUAGUCCCACAUCGGAUAAUGUGGGAGAGCCUGCUGGGUUUAUAAGUAGCGGACACACUAGACAUAAUAACUGGGCUUAAGCAUUUUGGGCCGGUGGUUUGGGCCUAACGAGUUAUUAUUACUAGCGGGUCGGGUCAUUACAUUUUAGGCCAGUGGUUUGGGCCCAACGAGUUAUUAUUGCUAGUGGGUCGAGUCGUUACAAUAGAAAUACAUAAAUGUGUACAAUAAUGCUUGACUUGUGGAGCGUAGACGGUCCAUUAGGCUCACAAAGAUCAAGCUUGUUAGGAACAGUCAUAAGAGUUGGAGAAACAGUAAGCACCACGAACUUCUAAAAGAUCAAUAUCGCAUCAAAUAUAUUUAUCUUCUGUUUGUUAGUUCAAUACAAUCUAAAGCACCUUCCUGUGGCUCAAACAGACAGUGACAAUGUUUCCAUGCCUCAAUAGCAACAUUAUAGUAAAGACAAAUAGCCAAAAUUUUUUACGCGCAUUCCCUGUCCCAUCUCUCCACAGAAAUAGUAAGACAAAGGGUAUUACAUAUAGUGCUAACACCUUUGAAGCAACAUAAUGUAAAUGGCAUGAUUUCAAACAAGACACAAAUAAUAUGAAAACAUAAACUUCAGAAAAGGACAGUACCAAAAGAAUAUCCUCAUCAGUGCCGAAGGAUUUGCGUGCCUCAUCUAGGCACUCCAUGGAAACUCUCUCAUGUUUCCUGCACAACAAAAAUAAAGACAAAACAUCUAUUCACAAGUACAAAAGAAAAUGACACUAAUUGCCACAAAUAGCAGCCAUUUGAAUUUAUUUCAAAACGCAAGUGACAAAAAAUUAGGAGUAACAGAAAAGUGGUAAAUUUUUCCUGCAAAACUAAACAAAGACAAACCUCAAAUAAGGUUUACCUUGAACUUGCAGGAUCCCGUAUUUCAAAUUCGCCGGCAUUGCCAUCAUAGCCACAUAUUACAAUGUAAUGCCCUAAAAAAGGAUCAUGAGAGUCAGUAAAACAAAUAUUAGAUUUCCCACGCGUUAACUUGGGUGGGGGGGAGGGGGGGGGGAAGAAUGAGUAUUGCAAUAAAGAAAAGAUGAAGUAAAAGGCCCUGUGAUAUCACAGUAAAGCAUCUUAACUUAUACUACUCGUAAAAAAGAAAGUUCGUUGGAAUUUUCUUUCCAAAAAUGCUCAUUUAUUUAGAUUUAAUACCACUUUUCUCCGAGCAAUCUCAUUCUUCAAUUGUUUAAUCCAUCAAUAGAAAGUGUACAAUUCAAAAUUCUAUUUAAUGCAUGUUUCUAACAGAUUAAUUUUGUAUGGUUGGAUCUAAUCCAAUGGAUGACAGAUGAACUAUCAAACAAUUUACAUACCAAAAAACCUCCUAGCAAAAUUUAGAAUCAAACAGUGUCCAAACAUUAUCAAUUAAUAAAAUCUUCUUAAUCAAUGGAGUGAUGACUCCUUUGUCUGCAUACUAUUGAUUUCCUUUGCACCACUCCCAAGAUCCCUCUAAUUAGUUUUAAAUCAUACCAUUUAUUUUGGUAAAAGUGUACGGAGGCCCCCCUCAUCUUUAGGCCUAUUUAUGAAUUAGCCUCAACUUUUCUUUUUCUUUUUCUUUUUUUUUUUUUUUUUUUUUGGGGUCAAGACGCACUGAACCCCAAAUUUUUAGAAUAUAAUAAUUUUAGCCAAAUAAACUAGGAAUUGAACCAAAAUGAUUAAUGAUUUCAUAAAAUUUAAUAGUUUAAACUCAAUUUAAUUAACUGCUAUUAUCUAGCUAAUUAAGUUACGAAAUUAAACAAAAUUUUUAACUUAAUUACCAACAAAAACUAAAAAUUAGAAGUGUAUCAAUAAAAAUAUGGAUUAGAAGGGUAUCAAUAAAAGAGAAUGGAGUAAUUAACUACUCUGUAGCGAAUAAAACUGAAUUAAUUUCUCAAUAAAAAAAAGUCAAAAGGGCAUCGAUUCAAAAAUAAAUAAAUAAAAGUUGAGGAGACUAUUUCAAAAUGGCCUAUAGUUGAGGGGACCUCUAUAUAUUUACCCUCUCUUUUUUGCACUCUCUUUCCAUCCCUUCCUAUCCCUCUUCCUUCCUCUUAUUCUCUCUCUCUUAUUCUCGAGAUUUAUAUUCGUGUAUCUCUUGGGAUGCCCUUUCACCAUUUUGAAAUGUCACCUCAACUUUUUUGCUUUCCAAAUGACAUUCCUUGAUUUUUGAUAUUUCUAAAUUAAUUAUAACGUAUUAAUACUAAUUGGCAUGUAGUAAAAAUUAGUGCUAACAUAGCAAAUAUAAAUUGAAACUGAGAUGACAGGUUAUGUAACUGUACUUUUAAAAGUAAGAAUUCAAUUAAAAGAAAUAAUAACUAAAAACUUAGUAAUAACCGGGAAUCAAUGGUGCAAUUAACCCAAAUUUGAACACAAUUCAUGCUUUUACUCUCAAACGUAGAAACUUAAAACUUAUCAAACAUUUUAGAAAAGAAAAAUUACUAAAAAUUAUUACCUCUUUGAAUGUGUGCAACGUGCACAUGGCUAGUUAGCCGGAAAAACCACUUUUGUUGGCUUCUAGCUCCGUUGGUAUCAAAACUAACUUUUAGCUUCUUACAAAGGAGGAAUUGAUAGCACAUUCUGACUUUAAAAAUGGACUUCCAAAACUCAUACACUAUAUGAAAUCAUUAAUAUAUAUUAGGAUAUAAAGACUUUUGGUUUCAGCCCUUUCUAUAGUCAGCAAUACAAUAUCGUGUCUAAGGACUUCUGUACCAUAUAUUACCUAUAUUAUCCUUGCAUAAACACAACUUAUUGUUGAAGUUACUGUGAAGUGUGAAUCAUCCUUGCAUCAUCAGUUACUAGAUAAACAAAUCGAUAACUGUAAUUUUAACUAUUCAGUAAGAAAAUGAAUCUUCUACUGCAUAAUAAUUAUAACAGACAGGAGAAAAGUCCGCACCCAUAUAAUCCGACCUCCCACUGUAGCAUUCACUGGCACGUACAUCAUGCAUCCAAGAGUUACUGCAUCAACAUAACUUGGUUAGUUCUUAUAGCAACAUCUCUAUAAUCCAGGUGGAAUAUUAGUAUUAUACGAGUUCUUUGUGAAAGCAUAUUGCUAAUUUUUAAUGCUGGAGGAAAAAUAGUAGAAGAUGCCUAACAACAUUGAACACAAGAAGGACAGCUGAAUGAGCCGUGCUCGUAAAAUAACAAGAGACAAGUUAAGAAUUUGCAACCUUAACUUAGUCUUGUCAACUAGGGCAACAGCAAUACAAUGACCAGACAACAGAAGGAUAGAAAUGUCCUUCGAGCUAAUGGAUCUGCACUGUGAAGGAUUAGGAAUUUGUUAAACCAAUUGAAGGUACGAGUUUGUGGCUAAUUAACAAAAUGAAGUUUUCACAUAUUUUCUCCAUUGAACAUAACCCUGCUUAGAAAUAUAGUGAAGAGCAUAUACUUGUAUACUAAUCCCAGCUUCAAGUGCCUUUUCGAACAGCUCACCCACUCGACUGGUAUCAUCUUCCAAUUGCUCCUGUACAUGUCCCAACUCAUCAAUGAAUAAUGUAUAUGAAAAGAAUAAGCAUCCCUCUUAAGAGAAAAAAAGAUAAAAGCCAAUGCAUCAUGGAGGCAAAAAGAGGAUAGUGGUCAGUCACCGCACUUCUCUUAAUCUGAAGAAAUUUUAUGAAAUGUCUACAAUCAUGAUUUAUGGAUCAGAUUUUGAGCAAUCCUGAGACAAUAUAUCUAAAGAUUAAGCAAAGAAAAAUGUUGAGAUAGAUAUGCAGGAUUAACAAAAAUAUGCAAUGAAAAAAGAAUGGUAUAUCACACAUAUAUAGUCCACCGAAUAAAAGUUACAUGAGAACUGAUUAAGAUGAUUUGGGCACAUGCCACACAGUGCAUCAGUAUAAAAGGCCAUAUUGCAACAGUACAGAAGGAUAGGCUUUCAUAUACUGAACUAUAGCUUAUAUUUCUAUUAUUUAUUAUACAACAACUGUCUUGUUACAGGCAUAACAAGAGAAAAAUCAGGGGAACAAUUGGAACUAACAUGAUGGAAAAAUGGUAAUGCGGAUGUAUAUAGAAACAUGAUUGAGAGAAUUGUUCAAAAAUUAAGAGAAUAAGAACACAGGAACCGACAUGAGAACUACCAGAAUGGCAAAAUGGUAUUUCAAAUACAUAGAAACAUGAAUGAAGGAAUCAUUCAAAUAUUAAAAGAAUAGGAAGUUAGGAACUCACUCUGUAAAAGGUCUCUGCUGAAUAAUUUGGAUUUACUCCUAGAGUCACCGUGAAGAAAGAAAAAUUAACUGAAAACUUAUGUAACAAGAAUGCCAGGUCAACCGUCCAGAUGCUGCAAAACUAAAACUAGCACAUCAGUCUACUGAAUUGAUCCACAAAGAAAAGACCAUAAUAAAUUUAGGGAACGAUUUGAAAUAUUCAAACAUAUCUCACAGUGGUCAUAGUAUUUUCGGUAUUACACAAAAAAAAUCAGUCCAAGCCUUAUAAAGUAACUAGCAUUGACAGCUAAAAGGCCUACGUGGUGGUCAGAUAUAAAAUAGUUGACAACAACCUUCAGCUUGCAACAAAAGUCUACAAACUAUCAACAGUACAUGUAAGACUCACCCAAAAUUCACAUAGAUUAGUGACAAGUAAUAACCCUUAAAGUUUAUACAUAACUGCCGUUUAGGGCUCCUAGGACGUUCAGCAGGAUUACAUUUGCAAAUUCCCUCACACGAACAGAACAGUAUAUUAAGUAAACGAGCAAGCGAUAAAUUUUGGAGAACAAAUGCCUCUGCAAUAGCAGGAUCAUAUUUAAAACCUCUGGUCCCACCCUUAGCAUUCCAUGUAUCUCGUAAGCAAACAUGUAGCAAACUGAGAUUCGUCUGAGUAAUAUUUAUGAAUGAUUUAAAUGACCGCACCAGACCUAACUGAAUUAAACAAUCCAUGAAUCACCAUGAAUCACAGCCUUGUUGUAUUGGAACAAAUUGUAUGAUUUAAUCGAAUUGCUUGUCCCUUGACUCAAAAGAGUGAGCAACAACAAAACAAACCUCGUCGUGGAGCAAAGUUUCUCGAGAUCGUGGAUAUCACAACACUCAAUCCCUAGAGCUCUUAACACCAUCAACACACAAGCAAGGCCACAAUCCCAAUUGAACAGUUGCCGCACGUGAGGGACCUAACAACCGCACGAUCAUCAACAAAUAGUUGAUAAAUAACCAAAAAAAAAAAGAAAAGAAGUCAAAUCAUGCUAAAAAGCUACUCACAUCUACGAAGUGGGAUCGAGCGGCGAACGAAGCUAAACUAUCAGCGGGCGAUCCCCCUUUUCCUUCCUGCUCCUCCUCAUCUCCUCCUCCAUCUCCGAUCAUCUUCGACAACUUGUCACUGAUAACGCACAGAGGCCACAUAACAUCACCAAAAGCUUCUCACCUCACACCAUUGCAGCCGCUUCCGCAUCGAUGCAAUCGUAUACCCCAAAAAUCGAAGACGACGAGUGGGGGGAAUCAAAAUCCCGUGCAAAUCGGGGGCGUCUGAGGUCGAUCACACGCGAUUAACAAGCUAAAAAACCUACUCGAAUCGGAUUUAGAGAUGGGAGUGUGUGGGACGUACCAGGGAUCGGGGAGUUGCGACGAGGACGACGACGAGGAGGAGGGGGGAUCGGAACGGGAAGCUUCUCGUGUUCGGCUCGUUUUUUGGGAAACGGAGCGGAAAAUGUUGAGAGGAUAAAUGAGAGAAUAGGGAAUGGCCCCAUUCGUUACUUAAUAAAACGGUUUCUAAAUGAGACCUACCUACCUGUGAAAGCGGUGCCUCGCCCAGUCGUGUGAUUCACUAUUACUAGUUGUCCUGUUUCCAGCUUUGCUACAACUUUCACGAAAAUCCUAACGCGAAAAAUAAUUCAAUAAUAGCCCUUCCACUGCAAGAAAAUUCGAAAUAUCGUUCCUAAUUGUCACUUUUCCUAGCCCCAGUACCUUUUUAUCAACGGUUGUUUAGAUUUGGGCAAAUUUUGAGCUUAGAAAAUUUGUUCACAAAACUUGUAGUUUUGACUAAAAUGAUUUGCAAAUCCAGUAAGUAAGAAUUUAGUGUUCUUCUUGUGCAUUCAAACUACAGUCCAUCUCAAUAUAACUAAUUUAUUUCGGUUGGACCACUGAUGUGCACCUGAGUGCCAUAUUUUGGAUGGAUCAACUAGCAAUAAUUAGAGACUUUUGGCACCAAGUGAUACCAAAAAAAAUAUAAAAAAAAGACCUUGUCAUCUAAAUGUCUCUAUACACCUCUGUCCACUUAAAAAGAGGACAAACUAUAUAUAUAUAAAAUAUCUCUCCACUUUACUCUCCUUACCAAGAAUUUUUUUCGUACUGUAAUAUUUUUUGAAAAAGAUAAUCGGUCAUCUGCUUUAUACAUUAAGAAGGAAAUAAACUUCGCAUCACUGAUAAAAAAUAACCAAGGCCUCUAACAAACAGUACAAAAAACAAAAUAAAGGCUGGUGCUCUUGUUCUAUAUAUUAUUAUGAUUUGAGCCUUAUAUUUUGGAAUUAUUUGAAAGUGGACGAUCAAAAAAUGAAAAGUUUGUGAGUUUUGCAAACUCCAACUUACCCCCAACUCCACCGGAGGCAAAAGGUAGAUUCGAAUGAGAUUAUGAUUUCAGCGUCCAACGUUGAUGACUUUUCUUGUAACCACGGAUUCAAACUAGCAGAUCCGCAAAAGCAAAUUAAACUUUUAUACAUAUUUCAAAUAAAUAAAAAUAAAUGGGAUGGUUAUUAAAAUUUGAUGCUAAAUUUUAUCGUGAUACAACAGUUAUCUAUAUUUCACAGCCUACAUUGGUCGCUUUCUAAAAAGGGGCUACAAGAACAGGUCUCGGUCUGCUACUGACGCGGGCCUUCACUCAAAGUGGGCUGCGUGGCCCAGGUUUGCGGAUCUCGCUUACUUUUUAUUGGGCCGGUUGUGAACAAGAACGAUGUGGACCAAACUGAAUCUCUUUAUAGAUAGGCCCUGAUUUCGCAAUUAACAGCCCAACUAGUGGUCCAUCAUCUCCUGGUUCCGUGCGACUCGUUUUACUUGGCGGGAAACAUCAAACAUUGGAAAAUUGGGGGGAAUUGUCGAUCUAGGAUUUCUUUCGCGCUCCAACUCUCCUCUUCCUCCUCAAUCCUCACCCCUCCGCGUUUCUCCUCUCUCUCUCUCUCUCUCUCUCUCUCUCUCUCUCUCUCUCACACACACACUCACACACACCCCUCCUCUCCUUCGCUUCCUCCCUCCUCUCGGCUUGCUUCUCCCCUGCGGCCACCUCCCUCCACAGCUCCCCUCUCCCAGGUGUUCCUCUCUCUCUCUCUCUCUCUCUCUCUCUGCGUGUGUCUGUGUUGUGCAUCUUAAGAAUGGGUUAGAUUUUAUUUGUUCUUAAAACAGUGUUUUACUCUGUUUUUCGACCUCUUCUGUUUAAUAAAACAUGAUUAUACCCUACUUUAACUGUCUCUCUCUCUCUCUCUGUUUUAGUCGAUCAUUGCGUAGGUUGUUUGGUUUCUUUUCUUCUCUUCAUUUUUUUCCGAACAUGUUAUUGUUUGGUUACUUGUGAAGUGUUUAUUGGAGUCUUUUGUGUCAUUUAACAAUUAUUGGAAAGUAUGGAGUUUCUUAUUUAUUUCAAAAUCCUGUAAAAAUGUGUGCCUUACCGGACAGUACUCUGUGCUUCGGUGUGCCUUGGGCUUUUUCUAAUGCUGGUCUACUACAGUCAUUUCUUCAUGUGCCUCUUAUAAAUUUAGUUAUUUUUAUUGUUGCUCUUAAUCAAAGACUGUAUUAUACCAUUUUUGUUCUUCGAGAGAAAUCUAUGAUUAUAAUUUAAUAAACUACUUUAUCGGCAACUAACUAACCUCUCCGGUGCAUUAUAGGUUACAGGCGCGAAGAGGAAAUGUAUGGGGGACGAGCAUCCCAGCUCUUGAAGGAGUUAGGCUCCUGCGAAGCUGGACAACUCACACCGUUCGAUGUAAGCUGUUCAUAAACUUGUGCAGCUUUCGAUAUUCUUUUAAAUAUUAACAACAAUAAGAGAAAGUUUAUCAAUUAUGCAACCUAUGCUUUAGAACCACACCUAAUCAAACGCUUCUUGAUUUUUCUCGCCAAAACUGUAGAAUCACUCUAUACAACUCGUGUCAGCUAUAUUGUGUUUUCUCAAUUUCCUUUUGAGGAUUCUAUAUUUGUUUGUGCUGCUUAGGCGUCAGAUACUUAUACCGCAGCAUUGAAUACAUGAGUACCGUAAGAUUGUAUUAGUAUGUUAGCGCGAGGCCUUUGGGUGCUUGAAAGUGGCAAGAUGCUCUUAAUCUGUUAGGGAGGCCUAGAGAUGUUGAUUUUUAAACCAGAUCUUCACCGGCUAAUAUUUUAGCUUCGGUUUUCAACUUUAGGCAUCUUCAUGCAGUACCCUUCCAUUCUAUAGAAUUAAGAUGGAAUUAUCAUGACAGCCUCUCUUAUCAGAAAAUCGUACGAUUAUAGGCUUUGCUGAAACUGAAGAAUCACAAAUUUGUACUUUUUGCAGCCAGAAUUAAGAACUAGUUGAGGGCUUGGCACGUCUAAUAGUGGAUAAUCAACUUAUAAGUGAUUGUAAAGAAUACUUGUUAUAACUGUUUCAGCUUCAAGAUCCCAGCUGUAACCUUUUGGGUUCUUGCGGUGGCGAUGAGUUCUGAUUGUUGCGGAAAUAAGUUGUUUUUAUUUUUCAUUUGGAUUACAUGUGUUGCAAAGUUAAUUGAUUUUGAUCAUUUUGUAUCAAAGUAAUUUUGAUUAACCAUAGCUUACUUGGUGCAACGAUUAACAAUGCUGCUGUCUAAUUGGACAUGCAGAGUGAUUCAUUUGAUCAAGUCACUAAGGAGUAAGGAAUGUAACGAGCAUAAUCUGCAGCUUCAGUCGUUGAUCAGGUGAUUCACAUGGUUUUUCUGCUCAACGUAUACCUUGUCUUUCACAAAAGAUGGAUGUAUAUGAGUAGUGUGCCCAAAAGUAUUAUCUUCGUGUUGUAUAGAUCAUUUUUUCUCGAUAAUUUACCACUCUUUUGCUUCGAAAAAAAAAACCACACACAUUUUGGGUUUGCCAACUACAUAAUUUUUCUAUUCUGUGGUAGAAAAAUUGAGGAUCAGAACUUAGACGUACAAACGACUAGAAACGAGGAUCACUUUGGUGCAGUUAUACAUCAUCUUUCUUUAACCCGUAACAAAAGAUGUCCCAUGGCUUACAUGUAAGCACAUGAUUGAAGAGUACUUCCCUGGUUGAAUGAUUUUUUUUCUCCAAAUUAUAUUGUUAUCAUACAUGUCCAAGCUUUACCUCCAUACAAUAAAUCUUUGUUAAAUUAAUACAGACUAAAGCUAUUACAUCCAAAUAGGUACAACCGCGCAGAAGUCAUUCAGAGUUUCAGAUGGAAAGUGGGUCCUGUUCUUCCACAAGAAAUUCAACAAAAACGCAAUUAUUCUGAGGAAGAGUAUUUAAAAAAUCACUCUGCUGCCAUAGAGUCCUACAUGUCCGAGCUAGAUCUGGAUUUGACUGUGGUAUCUUUAACCUUCUUAUCAUUCUCAUGCCUAAGAACCAACUAUUUUUCAAUCAUAAAUGAAUGAGGUAUUUACAUUUGUAUUCCCCGCAAAAUCAUCUAUUCAUAUAUGUCUAUAAAAUCUGAAUUUUCAGAUACCCCUUGAAAAUUUUAAUUUCUUACGUAUAUGUAUAUACUAUCAUACUUAAUAAAACUAGCCCUCCUUAAAAAACUUGUUCUUAUAAAACAUUAACCUUCCCUCAUGAAUGAGAUUACCCUCCAACUCACGAUAAGGGUACUUUCAUAAUUAGCUAUGCUUGUGAGGAGUAUCGAAGUUGAGAUUUUACGACGGUAUAGAUUUAAAUAGAUAAUUUUGCUAGGGGAUAUGUUAAACCACCUAAAGGAAGAACAUGGACUUUGUAGGAUAUGGUACCUCCCAAGGAUCCUUAUAUCUGUGUUAGGGUACUUGAUGACAUCAGAGAAGUUUGUCUCGGCGAUCAUUCGAUAUCUCUGACUAAGCACUCACUGCAUUUUCUUAGGCGUACAGAUGCUGAGCAAUUUAUAUCCCAGGUUUGUUACUGCAGAGUUCGCCUCAUCUCAAUGUCUACGUUUCUUCCUAAUGCUGAACUCUUGUUUAAAAUAUUAGGGUCUGAUGGAAGAGUUUCUGGAGUAGAAUCUUCAGUCAUGACAGGUGAUGGUAAUUCUCUUCCCUUUGUUGUAUUUCCUAAAAUUCUCCUAUUUUAGGAAAUGCAAGGGUAUCAAGUUUUGAAUCAAGCAAAAUUUCUUCAUGGUAGUAGGCUUUUGCUAAGAAAUUGGUAGCUUACUCGCUAUUUUUUUUUUUUUUUUUUGAGAGAGAUAGGUAGCACGCUACCCGCCUCGUUUAUUUUAUUUAAAAAUAAACUUAGUUGGAAAUAUGAAUCAACUAGGAUUCGAAUUUGGGUCUCGGGUAUCAAUCAUCAAGCCCUUUGCCGUGCUCUAAAAAUAAACGUAGCUUACUCGCUAUUAUCGCUACUGAGCAUAGAACUUUGCAACCUCUGGAUAGUAUGCCUAUAAAGUAACUUAACAAAAAUGUACUCCACAUUAGAGUGCUGGGCAACUUUUCUUCGUUAAAGAUCCUGUUUCUGCUGGUUUGCCAGAUUCAAUCUGACCGCCGUAUCAUCCUCCAACAGGUUGCACAUGUAAGCCUUACUCUUCUUUUUCAGUUUUUUGAGUGGAACCCAUCUUUUUCAGGUUGCACAUGCAACAACACGAAUGAUUUUAUGCUUUUAUCAAAAUUCACACCAUUACAUGCAAACAAAAAUAUACAGUUUCUUUUCCGUGUACGUUCAUCACCAAGGGAUAAAGCUCAGAAUAACAAGAUGCAGUAGGUCUCAUACAUAAUUCCUAAUUCUACGCGCAAUUUCAAAUUUGCACUCGAUUUUAUGUAAAAUUUAUAAUUCUAAUAACUGAGCUUUUACAGCGGUAAAGCUUGCACUUCAAAGUUUGAAUGCUGUCGCACUUUAUUUCAUGCAGAAUUUAUAGUAAGAAUUUAAGUAUUUAUCGGUACAGAUUGCAUUUAUUGUGUUAUAUCGUGCUAAUAAAAUAUCGGCGCGAUAUAGUUUUUGUGCCGAUAGUAUAGUUUAAAAUUAUUUAUUUUUUAAAUUAAUAAGUAAUUUUUUUUAAUAAAGUUUGAUAAAAUUAUAUAAUAAAUAGUUAAAAUAUUUUAUUGUUAAAGAAAAUAAAUAUUUCAUGCUAUUAUAUGUCGGCAUAUAUAAUUUUUUUUAUGAUUGACACGUAUCGGUAUGGUCGGCAUGUAUUGUAUUGCUAAGUUUUUAGCACGAUUUUGUGUUAUGGUAUUUAAAUUCUUGAUUUAUAGUUUUGGUAAAUUGGAUUGUCAUGUGUGUAAUGUACUGCUAAUAUAUGUCUAUACAUUAAUCUUCUCUUUUUUUUUUUUGGAAUUUAUGUGUUUGAGUGGCCUCUUUGCUUCACAUUUACAUUUUUAAUGCUUUUUGACUUAUUUUGAGAGAGGAUGUGCUCAUGUGACUGCACGGUUCGCGCCUGUGGUGUGACUCCCGUGAGAGGGACAAUGUGUUUAUUGUGGGCACGCUGCUUCUACCGUUCUGUGGAAACAUCACAAUUUAUUAAUUUAUUAACUAAUUUUUCGGUUAAUGUAGUAUAUUACUAUUCUUACUCAGCAUAAGCUCGUUUUCCAAGUAAAAAAAAUGAAAGACACUCAUAAACUGUUUGAAGCGUGUUCCAAAUUUGGAUUCCAAGGCGUAUUAAAGGGUUUUUUUGCAUAUAGCCUCCGUCAAAUUUUUAUUUUAAAAAUAGUUUUUUUAAAUUUUAAUUUGUAAAAAUGGUCCUGCGUCUGCCAUGCAGGUGUCAUUGACAUUUCUACUCUAUAUUUCUCUUUUCAACAUAUAAAAUAUACAUAUUAAAUACGGUGAACUAUUCACCGUGUCUAAACAUGGUGAAUGAUUCAUCGUGUUUAAUUUAACAUAUAGGCUCUGAUCCCGCCUGCGUGGCACUGAUGUGGCGCCUGCGUGACAAGUUCGGAAUUAUUUUUGAAAAUUAAAUUUUGACAUGAUUAUUUUUAAAAUAAAAAUUUGUUAUGGUGCUAAAUGCAAAAAAGCCCCGUAUUAAAUGGGCUUUCCCUUCAGCGGGUGUAGAAAUAGUGCUGGAGGUGCCUCCGAAUUUUUUGAAUUAGAAUUGGAUAAUAAUUAAAGGGUGGCUCGAUGAUCAUUGUUAACCGUUGUGAGCGUACAAAUAUAAACGGCAAAAGGCAAUUGAAAAGUAAACGAAGUACAAAAAUAAUAAAAUAAAAUAGAGUAUAAUGACUUACCUGAAACAGUUUUUUUUGUAAAAAAAAUACUACGGGUGAAGGAAUACAGAAUUUUAUUAUAAAAAAGAGAAUACGAAAUUUUUGUACGCAAUGCGUUGCGUCAUGUCGCAUCUAGAGUAAAACAAGAAAAUUUCUAAAUAGAUAUUUUUUAUUAUUAUAUUCGAUUCAUACUACGGAGUGCGGAGCUCCUGCACUUCUCGUUUAGUGUCCGUGGUGGGCUAGGGGUUCGGGUUUAUGAGCUCGAGUCUUUCGCUACUUAGACAUUUAUUUUUUAUUUUACAAAUUCUUUUCUAAAUUUAUUUUUUAAAUGCCUCUUUCUCUCUCUCUCUCUCCAUGCAUUAGAGUUCCCUACUAUUCCACGUAGAUCUCUAUACUCCAUCUAUUGGAGGUUGGACCUUUCACCAUAAAGCUAGCUAAGCCUUUCAAGUGAAGAAUGUUUUGUUCGCUGAUUCAUGAGAGCUCAACCGAACCCCCCCACCUCUCCUAACCAUGCACACCAGACGCUCAUUCAUUCAUUCAUUAAUUAUCUCGUAAUUUGUUAAUAAUUAUGCGACCUCUCUCUAUUCUCUAGUCUCUACCCACCUCGUUUUAUUUUAUAUUUUUUUACAUUAAUUAUUAACGCCGUUACAAGCCAUUUACUCGUGUCACAGAGACCAAUAAUAACUAGUUCACGCCCAAAACGGAGCCUCACCUUAAUGUAUUCACAUUGGGUCACGAACCACGGAGGGGUGCGAAUUGAGAGCAGGGACAAGCAUAACGUGACAAAUUAGUGGUAUUUUUGGUCUUUUAAUUACUAGACCACAUUAUUAUUGUUUUAGGCCUCUUGGAACUUUAUUUUAUUUAUUUAUUUAUUUAUUAAGUAGUGUCACCGAGAGUAGAUGACUACUCUUUCUUUGACAAUGUGGUGUGAUUUAUUAUUGGUUUCGUAGCACGAGAGUUAGAGCAAAAUAUAUGUUCGUCAAAAAAUUUAUUUCUAUUUUAUUUUUUAUUCCAACGGACUAGGACAAAAGUUUAUACGAUUAUUGCUUGCACCUGGUGCACUAGUCAAUCUGUGCACUACAUCUCUCAUAGGUCCACAUAAUUUUUUAUUUCCAUAUAACCGACCGUCCCUAAUGCAAGUAACAAAUGAUUUGGUAGUUGGUACCCCUGGCCCUAAGUUUGAAUUCUAGUUGAUUUUUAUUUCCAACUAAGCUUAUUCUUUUAAAAAAUAAACGAGGUGAAUAACAUGCUACUUUUCUCUCAAAAAUAAUAUUUUUCAUUUCAAUAUAUAGUGAAUAAAUACUAAAUGAUGGGAUGGCAUAUCUUCGUUUUAAAUGAAUUUUUUUAGAUAUAUAAUUAUAAGUGUUUGCAUCUAUAAUGUUGAAAUUGCAGUAAUUUAUACAUGUAAUCUAAAAUAUCAUAUAAUUACAUAAGAAAUUAUUUAAAAGAUAUAGAGUAGUUUGUAUUUUCAUAAGUAUUGAUGAGAGUGCAUGAAAAUUAUUUUGUGAGCCUCUCACCGCUAUUCAUGAUGGUGCAUGUGGGAGGUUGCAGUACGCAUGCACCACCAUUACUAAAAAGAACAACAACAACAACAAAAUAAUAAUAAUAAUAAUAAUAAAAUAGGUUUAUCUACUAAUUCCUUAGAAAGAGGUUUUGAGGAAUUAUUACACAGUAUCAUGCCAUUGGUGUGUUCGGAGUAAUCACAUUUAUUGUAUUAAUUAAUGGACCAAGAUCUUUCCCUAUUAGUUCAACAAAACUAAUAAAUAAAUAACUCUCCAGAUCAAAUUACCAAACCACGUUGCACUAUUAUAGUAGUUUAUUUAUCAUGGAUAACACAAAAAACCACCAUAUUUAUAUUCAAAAAUAGGUCUAAAUAUUUGUUCAAUUUUUUAGGCCAAUUAAGUCAGUUUUACACCUAACACUUUUUCUCUCAUAGGUUUUAUAGACCAUUCUUUGUAAAGGUGAAAAAGUCAACUACUGGGACCUCAUCUCUAAACCUUUUUUCCACAUCGAUUUCAAACUUAAAUUUGAAAAAAAAUGUGCAUAUGCUGUUUCUCUCUUUUCCUUUGAAAACAAAAAAAAAGGACAAGACAUUAUUAUAAAAACAAAGGAAAAGGAAAAAGUUAAACCUGAGAUUAGCAACUAUUUUAGUUUGGAGUAAAAGUGAGACUACUCAAAUACACUCCUCCCAUUUACUAACCGUUGGAAAAGGUCGAAGAAAAUUUAAAAAGAGAAAGGGAAAAAAAAUUAAAACCCCAACGGUCGUCCUUCCCUCUCCCUCUCCCUCUCCAACUUUUACAGGAAUCAUGUGUUUGGAGCGAACGAAGCAAGCGCACUUAAUCAUGGCCAUGGCCAACCUCUUCCUCAGAAACACCUACCACAAUUUAUAAUUGCAUUUUAGUCCCCACAUCCCCUUCACCUUCCUAAAAUGAUCUCCUUCUUAUGGACCAGCCCUGUUCCGACAAAGCAGAGGACCCCAACAAACUCUGUCUCCCAUUAACCCGCCACUUCAAACCCAUUUCGCUUUUGAGCUCUUCUGGGUCUCUAGAUCCCCCGAAGAAGCUCCGCCCCCAGAUGGGUUUGUUGUGAAAAAUCCAAUCUUGGUGAGAAAUUUAGGGAGGAGUUGUGUUGUUAGUGAGCGUCCUCUGUUCGGGGAAGCAGCGGGGAUUAGGAUGGAGAGAUUGGGAGAAGCCAUUGUUGGGGAAGGAGAUUGCUAUAGCGAUUCGACGGAGGAGGAGUGUCGCGGGAGCAGUUCGAGCUCGGAGAAUUCGUUGAGCGGAGACCUCCCGCAGAGGCUUCGUCGAUCGGAGGGGUCGGCGGAGCCGUCGGAGGAGUUGGGUUGGCCCAUGAAGAAGAAAAGCUCGAGCUCGGAUGCGGUGGAUGGGAAUGAGAAAAUCCAUGAGGAUGAUGCAGGAGUAGAGAAGCAGAAGCGAAAUGUUUCAGGUAUUGGAUUUCUCUAUAAUUUCUCAUAUUCUCAUAUUUUAGGCAUAUUGCACAUAAAUAAUUCCUUAGUUUAUUAGCAAAUUGUUGUAAAGUGCUUGAGUUUUAUGAACUCAGAGAGUAAUUUUAGGUUUCCAUGUUAGCCUUUUAGAAAUGUAAUCUGAACAGUAAUUAAUUGCUUUUUACUUACUUUGUUUACUCUUCUUCUAAUUAAACCCCUAGAUAUAUGCUUUUUUUUUUAUAUAUAAAUUGGUUAUGUAUUGAGGCUUAUUUUUGUACUUAAUCAGAAAUUGAGAUGAUGAAGGAGAGGUUCUCCAAAUUGCUACUUGGAGAGGACAUGUCGGGCUGCGGCAAGGGGGUGUGUACAGCAUUGGCCAUUUCAAAUGCUAUUACUAAUCUUUGUGGUAAUUUUUUUAAUAUCCUAAGGUUAUUUCUUCAUAAAAUCAUAUAUAUAUAUAUUCCAGAAAUUAUCUCUGUGAGAUCUUAUAAAUUUUUUUUGUUCAUUUUACUGUCCCCAUCAGCAACAAUAUUUGGGCAAUUGUGGAGGUUGGAGCCUCUUCCUCCCGAAAAAAAGUCAAUGUGGCAAAGAGAAAUGGAGUGGCUUAUUUGUGUUAGUGAUCACAUAGUCGAAUUUUUACCCACAUGGCAAACAUUUCCUGAUGGAAGCAAGCUUGAGGUAACUUUGUUAUAAUUAUCUGACCGACUAUGCUGCGUUUUGUCAAAUUACUAUAAAAAAUUCUUUUUGUUAGUUGAAUUCUUUGAAUUUAUAGAGAAGUUUCCCGCGAUUGAUUUAGCCGUGUAAUCUGCUCCUUUAUAAAAACAGAAGCCAUAAUUGUAUUAAGGAUACAUACCUUGGCUACAUGAUAGUGAUUAAACUUCUUGCUGAAAUCGAUUUCAGGUCAUGACAUGCAGACCGCGAUCCGAUUUAUAUGCAAACCUGCCUGCCCUUCGGAAAUUAGACAACAUGCUCCUUGUAAGAACUGCAGCAUAGUAACACCCCUAAUGUAGCAAAUAUAAACCUUUGGAGGAGGGUCAUUCAGAUUAGUUUAUUUCAUUACAGGAUGUACUGGAUAGUUUCAAUGAACCAGAAUUCUGGUACGUUGAUCAAGGAAUUUCUGCACCGGAUUGCGAUGGUUCGGCCUCCUUUCGAAGAGCUUUUCAUCGCCGCGAUGAGAAGUGGUGGCUGCCAGUACCCCGGGUGCCGCCUGGGGGUCUCAGUGAGAGUACAAAGAAGCAAUUGCAGCACAAACGCGAGUGCACGAACCAGAUUUUGAAGGCUGCCAUGGCUAUAAAUAGCAAUGCUUUGGCGGAAAUUGAUGUUCCCGAGUCGUAUAUUGAGUCCUUACCAAAGGUUUGCCUUGAGAUAUUUAGAUGUUUGCCCUCUGUAGAGUUAUCUCCUUGCAUAUUUUUUACUCAAAAACUUGAAUUUCCACCAUUCAUACAACCUUGAACUUGCCAAAAACUUUCCAUAUGAAUUGGAUAAUACCCCGACUGCAAGUAACAAAUAAUGAUACUUUUAUAAGAUAUAUAUAAGUAGAUGAAUCUUCAAGUGUGUGCGAAAAAGACUUCUUGGUUAGGUUGAGCACUACUUGUUUGAUAAUGUUGAUUUGAUUCUCUUUUCUCUAUAGCAAUUAUGUUAUCUUUCACAUCGUAUCCACCGUUUUGAAAUCUUUUAGUAGCUUUUAUUUUAUGUUACAGUCUGACUGAAGUUGUUUUGUUCCUUGAUAUCAGAAUGGCAGAGCGAGCCUCGGUGACCUGAUAUACCGUUACAUCACUUCCGAUCAAUUCUUUCCCGAAUGCCUUCUCGAUUGCCUCGAUUUGUCCUCCGAACACCACGCUUUAGAAAUUGCCAAUCGUGUGGAGGCAUCGAUUUAUAUUUGGCGUCGGAGAACAACUAACAAGCCAAUGAACAACACGAGCCGAAGUAGUGCUAAAUCAUCUUGGGGCAUGGUGAAAGAUAUGAUCAUAGAUGCAGAGAAAAUUGAGUUGCUUGCCGAGAGAGCCGAGGGCCUCCUGCUUUGCUUGAAGCAAAGGUUCCCUGGGCUCACACAAACUACCUUGGAUAUGUGCAAACUCCAAUUCAACAAGGUUCGUCGAUCUUUAUUCGGUCCCUCUUUGUUUUAUCUAGAGUUGAUUACAAAUUAGGUCCUUGAAGUUCGACUCGUGAAGUAUCAGUUUGUUCCAAAGUUUUGAAGAUUCGGUCCUGAACUAAAAAGACACCACUGCAGUGUCAUCGCUCAAAUUGAAAUAUCAAACAAAACUGUCAUAUCAGCAAAUCCUCAGAACGAAUGAUGUUGAUAUGGUGUCUUUUCUUAAAUGAUUGACUGAAGGGAAGGCAUAAUUAUUGUACAGGACAAAAUUCAAGACUGAAUUGAUACGAGCUAACUCGAAAGUUCUUUUCUGUUUGGCUAAAAUUUGCAGGACGUCGGAAAGUCCAUCCUAGAAAGCUAUUCACGAGUACUGGAAAGCCUUGCCUCUAACAUUGUAGCUCGCAUCGACGAUCUGCUUUACGUAGAUGACUUGAGUAGGCAUACGGAUCAGUUCUCCUCAAUUGUUCACAACAAAGUUAUCACUUCGUCGCACUCGGUGCCUGUCUCAGGCACUCCAUUUGAAACUGCUUACGCUACCCCGAGCUACUCUCCCGCGCUGGGAAUCAGUCCGAUAAAAGGAGAGAAGGCACUUUUGCUCAAUAGGAAACUGAGUAGUCGCAGUUUUGGAGUGAAGAAAGUUUUGACAGAAUAUCUGGGUGUCGAGGUGAAGGGAAAGAACAGCAACAAUACUAACACAGCUGAGGUAUCAUCGCUAACUUUAGGGUUUGGAGCUUCUUACUGAGUGAUGUGUUGUUGCAAUCCAUAGUGAAGCGAGAUGUUAGAAAGAUAGGAUUUGUGCUUCAUGUGUUGCUUGAAACUAUUGUUGUUAUGAUUGCUGGUCAAUGUAUUAUUAGACCUCAACAAGUAUAAGGUUCCUUUUCUUUGAGAAUAUGCUCUUGUUGUUGAUCUUAGAUACAGUAAAGUGGCAUGCUGAAUGAUUAAAGGUAACUACAGAUAUGGUAGGUAAAGCAAGCAUAUCUUUAGAAAGAAAAUGAAAGCCAAGAGGUAGAUAGCAUGCCACAAGAAACAUGGCAGCUGCUCAUUGGAGGUUUUCUAAGUGCAGCACUAAUGAAUACUCGGUAAAAUAUAAGCACUAAGAUGUGAUGAAGCAGGUGACCAUGAUUACAGCUCACUCAGUGCUGCAAUAAACAAGCCACGGUGCAACCUCCAUUAAAAUCUUCAUGCAAUGUAUAUUGGCUAAAUUGUAUCGAUACUCCCUGUACUAUUCCAAUAUUACAACUUCGGUCUUGAACUUUCAAUGAACCAAAUUAGUCCCUAGAGUUUCUGAUAUAUUGCAACUACAUCUCUGACAAAACACGACAUUCCCUAUAAAACGACAUUCGUGCUCAUAUUUUAAGUCCAUAACAACACUCAAAAUCGUAGACUCUUUGAGGGUCACGGAUGGAAGUGCAACUAUGUGCGAAAGUUCAGUAACUAGGCUGUUUUCAUGAGAAGUUCAGGGGCUAAGACGCAAUAUCUCGACGCUGCAGCAUUAUGUAUACCUCUCCAGAUGGCUAUGGAAAGCACUGCAGCAUUGAAGAAUGAAGACUAAUAACAGUAUGAAGUUCCUCUGCCUUCUUGUUCUCUUUGCUGCCAUUACGGCUGUAACAGAAAUUACGAAGGCCGACGCGGCUGGGGAGUGUGGUAAGGUCCCGCCAGACCGAAUGGCCCUACGCUUGGCCCCGUGCAUCGCCGCAACACAGGAUCCGCAGGCCCAGGUCUCAGAUAGCUGCUGCUCUCAGAUUCAGAAGUUGGGCCAAAAUCCUAGUUGCCUAUGUGCUGUUAUGCUGUCGAAUACCGCGAAAAUCGUAGGGGUUAAGCCGGACGUCGCGAUAACUAUUCCUAAGCGCUGCAACCUUGUAGACCGUCCCAUCGGUUACAAAUGCGGAGGUGCGUAAAUUGUUGUCGCCAACUACAUUGUUUUUUCUUCUUUUUCACCCAUCAAUUCUUGUACUUCGUGUCAUAACCGUUUUUGUAAUGUUUGUUUGCAGCAUAUACUGUACCUUGAAGGAGAGGAGGUGUAACUGUGUAAGAGUUGCUUCUAAUGUUGUGAGGUGAAAAUGUUGGUAAAAGGCUUUAUGAAUGCCUGCUUAAAUAAAUUACUUCUAAUUUGUAACAGAAGAGUGUGCAAUAAAACUAAAAAGACUGUUGUGUUUCAGCAUCAUAGUGUUGAGUAUAUAAGACUGAAAUGUCAUUAGCUAACAAUCUAGUCUUAGAGACAAAUCGUUAUUUCACAUAGUAUACCUCAAUAAACCUGUGGACUUCUCUACUUUAAUUAUUCAACGGUUUCUGCUAAACCGUAAACUUUCCUUUUUAGGUUAAAAAUGAGAGAUACCAAAAAUGGACUUAUCAAUUGAAAAGUUGGGUUCGGACGAAGCCCAAAACUCGGUGAAACAAACUGGGGUGGGCCAUGUGUCUAAAUUGGCCGAAACGGUUCACUGAGCCUCAGGAGUAAACGGCCCAAAAUUGGGCCCAGAAUAAUUCGGCCCCUUAAGACACUGUCUAGUUUGUUUGACCCGUUUACGCAAUAAGCCUAUGGGCCGAUAUCGCGUUGCGGGUGGGCUUUGUCCUGGCCCAACAUUUCAGUUGAUAAGUCUAUUUUUGGUAUCUCUCGUUUUUAACCUAAAAUAGAGACAACUAAAUCCUGCAUCCAUCGUCGGAGUCGCCCUCUCCUGCAUCCCAUACCAUGCUCUACGAUUAUAAUUUUUUUCAUCAACAGUGAAAAUAUCUUGGACCACCACUUUAACUAUAAAGCAUUUCGAAUCAAACCCCUCAAAUUUUUUUUUUCCUACUCCUACCCAUCAAUAUUUUUUUUAUUUUAAUUUGAGAGGAUUCCAAAUAGUUACCAUUACUAUACUUGAAAGUUGUAUAAAAUGAUAAAAUUAAACUUGAUAAAAUACCCACAGUGACCCCAAAUAGUGACUAUUUAGGAAAAAUCUUCUAUUUGAUAAAUGAAAAAACAANUGCUCCAAAAGGCACUAGCAAUAUUAUUCCUUUUUUUACUACUUUUUUCUACUGCACUAGCAAAAAUAGAAGCAAGAAAAAAAAAAAAAAUUGAGAGCUUCGAUUCAAGAAGGCCUUAUUGUUUAGGGGAUCUAGUACAUCUUUACCUCCGUUUUGCAAUUGUUGCCCCGUCUAAUGAUUAUAUAAGUACAUGGAAUUUUUAUCACCACUAGUAAUCAUUUGAUCACACACAAUGUUCUUCUACCUCGAAUGCGCAAUUUAUUCAACAUCAUCUACCCAUUACUUUAAAAAUUUGCAUCUGUGCAUUCAUUCAACAGCGUGAUUAUUAUUAUAAAAAUUAGAUAUCGUCUAUCCGACGUUGUAAAACCAUCAAACACAUCCAAUCUACAAUAAUAAAUCAAAUUCAAUCUACUCAAUUGUGUUGAAGUGGUGACGAGUUUGGCAUUUAAUUUCAAUACUUUUAAAAGAUGAGUCUACAUGGGGCUCCACAUUAUACUGCCAAUCCAUGUUUAUCAGCAAGCUCUGAACUAAAUAAAAUUCAGCUGAAACAUAUCACACAAUUUCAUAAAAAUUAAAAAUACAUUGAAGAAUCUCUCAUAGAUGAAAUAAAUGAAAUGAGAAGAUUGGUUAUCGAUGCUCUAUAACUGAGACAUCUAAUGUGGUUUUUCCCAUAAAAGAGUGAAUGGUCGACACCCAAUUCAGAUUAAAUCAGAUUUAAAUCAGAUUAAACCAACUAUGAUCGAUUCAUACCAAGCAGUAAAUUGAAAGGUGUGUAGCAUAUAAUCCUAUGAUCUGCAUUAUGCCUCACCAACGAAGCUCUACGGACUAAAACACGACAGUAUCGAGCAUAGUACCCAGAGUCUGCACUAUGUUAGAGGACAUCAGGUUCGAUACGUGCUCUUCCAGAUGCUUCUUUGCAUCCUGCCGGCCGACGUUAGCAAUGGCAAGCUUCUCAGGUGGCAGCUCAUCUUCUUCCUGCACCGCUUUGUUGUAUUUAACAGCUAAAUUCAGCAUUUCCUGCACAUAAUAAACCCUUGUUAAAAUAAUCAUCAAGUUCAUGCAACUGACCCACGGAGUACAACCGAAGGGGCAUUGAGACAAGUACGGUGAAUUAACUAGCAUGAAGAAAAAGCCAAAAAUAUUUGUAGCUGGUUACAUAAGGGCUACCUAAACUGCUGGUUUAUCAAAUAAAAUACAUGACCAACCCAAGUGUUCCAACCUACCACCAAAGCCCUAUUUCGGCCAAUUUUCUUUUAUGGCCAUUAGCAUAUGAAUGUCACAGGACUUCUAAGACUGUCCCACCUGUCUUCAACUGAAAGCCAAGAUAAGCCUUGGGGAAUUUGAGUCAAUUGGCUUCAUGUAACUGACAGCCACUGGCAACAAAAUCAACAGGCAGAUGGUGGAUUGAAGCAGUCAGACUGUUCAUGUCGUUCAUUUUUUAUAUCAUAAUCUUCCGUGGCAACAGAAAUUAGCAAAAACUUCAUGGGUGUGCCAAUAUAUUUGUUUCAUACAAUAAAAAAGAACAGGAUCUAAGAUUGCAUACCUGCACAGUUUGUUCGUUGGUCUUGGAAUGCGCAUCAAACCGCCGCAGCAUUAGACCGUCAGUCCACUUCUUUUUGUGCAGGUUCAGCAACAUCUUUUCCUCCAGUUCAUUUUUCCGAUAAUUUAUGGCAAUAGAAUAAUAAUGCCGGUUCAACCCAUGAAUCAAUGCCUAAACAUAGCAAGAAAUAGGUAUAACUUUGCAAAUAAGAUAGACAAAAUAUGUACGGGAGGCAAGUUUCACUUUAACAAGAAGAGCAAACCUGAAUUGAUGGUUUGUUGAGGUGUCCAACAUUAGAUGUAGUUUGGCGAGGCUCUUGGCCGAGCAUCAUUGUCUGAGGGUUGAUCAACCGAAAAGCAUCAAUGACUACUUUGCCCUUAACACUCUGGAUUGGGUCUACCACAACUGCAACUGCUCUGGGAUUCAAUGCUUCAAAACUCUACAAAAUGUAAAAUAAAGUGAAUUACGAAGUAAUAAAAUUCUAAUACAGACUAUGAGCACACAAUUUGAGCGAGUUGUGACUUGUUAGUUAACUUGAUCACGAGCUUAAAUUAUCCAGUUAACAUUAUGUUUAUACAAGAUUAUUUGAUAUAAAAGCUGAAAAGUUGAAAACCAACAAAAACAAUUUGUAACAGAAUAAACACAACAGUCAGUUCUCGAUACUAAAGAAAAAACAUGCAUCAAAAAAUAAAAAGGAAAUCCCAGGAACACACCUGUUGCGUAUUUAUGUCAACACCAGAGAGCCAACAACCAAAGCCAGGAUGUGAGUGGUACCAUCCCACCACCAUUUCCGGUCUGUGCGGUAGAAUAAGGGGUUAUUCAGGAAAUAAACAUGCUUAAUGCAAACAAUAUGGAGGACAAGAAUGGUAGACCAAAAGAAACCUUCCAAGCUCAAGAAGUACACAAUGCAUCUCGACCACAAAUUUGGAGCAGUUUAUCAAACUUUAAGAAAGGUGGAGAAGAUAAUGUUGUAAGACUAGCCAAAAAUUAAUGCAUAAGACCUACUCUGACCACUUUCAGGACCAAUGAAUUGGCGCUAAACUGCUAAUAUAAGAAACCUCGCUUCUCACAAGCAAUAUCAUUGUGCUUUGGUACCAUUGAUAUAUAGAUAGUUUGGACAGAAAGAAACAGAAAGAGUAUGACCAUUUGCCUAAUACAAACUGGCCUGCUUCUUAUAUAGUCCUAGAUAUUGAUCUCAAAGAGUUCAAGGUUCUGCGAGAUUAUGUCAGUAACAGUUUCAUCGUCAACUCAUUUUUCUUAUCAUGUUCAUGUACAAACAAUAGCUGAAAAUUAUACUCUUAGAAGGUAUUGAGUAUGACGCAUGACUGAAAGAAUCAUCGAAUGUGGAGUCAUAAAAACCUAACGAUAUGCAACUGCCCAGAAUCAUAGAGCCAAAUAGAACUAGCUAAUUUGAAUAGGCAGUGGGUAAACUAAUUAAAAUCUACUAAAUCUGAAAAAUCUUUUGGAUAUUUCUGGCUGAAGUAUUAUUGACUAACAUAUCCAGUUUUUAAGACUAUCCUAUUAUAGGCUACUACAUGAUUUGCUAUCCAAAUUAGUCAGCUGAGAGGAGAUUUAUUCAAGCUACCUCUGGACUAUAGUAAUAUACUUCAUAGAUUGAAGUUAAAAAAAAAAAAAGAAGAGAAAACGCAAAAAGAGAAGACGAAGAGAAUACAUGAACUGUAUUUUGAUCAAUAGAUAUUCACCUGAAAAUAAGGCUUUUGUAUCUAUGCUCGUAGGAGAAAUCCCAAAUUCGACUUCUCUAAAAGGAAAAUCUUAGGACAUAAGAGUACUGAAACGUUCUGACAGCAAAUUCCAAUGUCCUUCAAAUUUCAACAGAUAAUUGCAAAUGUAGGUAAUGAGUAUGAGUAAACCUGCUCAAAAGGUUGAUACUUUCACUGGUCUUGGGACAUUGCUCCUUAGAUGGUGAGGCUUCUUCCUCGAUGCAAUGAAGAAACCCACUCUAGCAUCGACUUAAAUUCAUUCAUCUACUAUAAUCACAGCUAGUUUUUUCCAUUUCCUACAUCCUGUUUUUCAUCAAUCAGCAGGCAUGAACACUCAUUUUAGUACUUGUUGUUGUUCAUUAAUUGACUUACUUCUGGGCAUGAAAGUUGAUCCAUUACGAUCGUAGAAGAAACUAACAAUUUGCAAUCAUAUUAUUCAUCAAAUUCCGCACUCAUUUUCGUGUAAUCAUCCUUUCCCCUCUACAUUAAUUCAAUAUUUUCCGUAUGCGCGGCAUUAUACUGAAGAAUCCUAAUAAAACUAAGUGGCUAAAACUCAGAAAGCAGAAAAAUCUCAGCUUUGCAGCUCCCAUUUGUUUUACCUUCCGGUCUGCUUGAGCAUGUCGAGCAUGUUGGUCUGGAAGACGUGAUCGACGGCCUCGACGCUGACGCCGGUCCCGCUCUGCGGCAUGGCGAAGACGUCGACCACGCGCACCGUGUACUCGUCCACGAACUCCCCCAGCAUCAGCCCCAUCACCUCCAUCGGCACACCCGCCCUACCUGUUUCAGAAACCCCCCAGAGCCGAAUCAGAAACCCUAAUUUGGACACGAAUCCUAGAAGAAGAAGAUAGGAUCGGAUUGGAGGAGAUAAGGUGGGGUGAGGAGGAGUAGGGCUAGUACCGUGCUUGAGCAUCUUGAGGAGGGCGAGGGAGGAGAUGUAGACCUGCUCGGAGGAGUCGAGGAGGGGUGUGUCGGUGGGUGGGUGCCCCAUCCCCCCAGCUCCGAAGAUCCGUUGGAGACGACUAUCCAUGAUCGCUCUCGCUCUCUUGUCGUCGUCGUCGUCGUCGUCGUCUUCUUCUUCUUCUUCUUCUUCUUCUACCGCUUCUGCUUCAAUGGAAGCGGAGACGAAGACGCACAAAACAUCUGGAUCUGUUGUAAUAUAACGUACGCACCAAGCCAAGCCAAGCAGUGGGUCGGUCGGGUUAAGCCAAGUAGCUUGUUGGGCUGGAUUAGGCCAGGCCGGGCAUAUAAGAAGAGAUAGUGGGCUUUUUCUACUUUAAGUGGGCUGGUCCGGUGAAACAAAUUAUCGAUGAGAGAGAGAGUCGACUAGGCCCACUUAACUAGCUGAAAAUCUAUUUAGGUAUCUACUGUCCCAACAAAUUUUGCAUCCUACUACCAGUAGAAGAGUUCGAAGCAUAUUUAAUUAUUAAUUAAAGCAUUAUGACACUGUAAUAACCCAGCCUAGUAAUACUAAUACAAACAAUACGUGGAGGACAAAACCAAUGACUUAAAAUGCUUAGAGCCUAAGUUAUUAAUUAAUAUUGAAAUCUUUUGUCUCUAUAUACACCAUCAUAAUCCUUUUCCUAUUUUAUGUGAGAUAAUAAUUAGGAUGCCACAGACACCAUGAAGGUUAAAAUCUAAUGAUAAAAGCACUCUAUGUUCAAUUGCUGCAGAUUUAGGUUUCACGUAAAAAUAUAAGUUAGCAGUACCUUGUGUCUGCUUCCAACGCAAGUUUUUUUCAGAGUUGAUUGAUUUACCUUGACAAUCGGUAGAGAGAAGCAAGUCAAUAAGCAGAUUAGCAAAUAUCUGUUGCUCAGUGGGGGUUCUAUAUCUGCUAGAGCAAUAAAUAUGUGACCAUGUGAUGGAUCACCCUUUAUCUACCAUCACAGGAAUUAAGAAUAUUUGUUCUCUUUUCUAUAAACUUCCCCAUUGUGAGAAAGUGUUUCUCAAAGAUGAUAUUGAGGUUAAGGAACCUUAACAAUGAUCUCAACAAUCUAUUGUUCCCUAGUGCUAAACAACAUAAAAAGUUAAUAUAUGAAACAGACAGUAUCCAGAAAAAUAAUAAUAAAAAAAAAUCAUCCCAGGUUAAGUGCAAUUUUGACUAGGAAGCUUGCCUAGAGAAUGAGCACUAGUCAAGCAUAAAACUUUAAAAAAAAAAUUUAAAAAAAAAGGCAAUAACCAUACGAUAAGGCAUUUCAAUGAACGGCAGAUGCAACUAGCCAGAGUUAAAACAGGGAAAAGAAAACACUAAAUAAUGUCAGAAUUACAAUAUCUUUAAUAUAGGAGUAUGGCAAUGAUGACUCCACUUGCUUUUUGAGUUCUAUGAAGAAACAUCAGCACAAAAGCUAACAUGUUAGAUAACUGACAAACUUUACAACCACAGGGAAAUGAAGUCUUUUAGGUAUGGAGAUAAUUAGCAGCCAUCAUCAGCUCCAGAGUUAUUUCAGGUUCAAUAUGAAACUCUGUUUCCUUUCCACUGCCAUAAGAAGAAAAUUUAGAUGAGAACAGUUGAAAAGAACUUCAAAUCCAGCAAUAACUCCAGCAGUAAAAAUAUAAGGCUGCAAUGUUCUAUAUCUUGUAAGAAAAUAAUUGAAAGAAUGAAGAUAGUUUAUCAUGAAGUCAUGCCAAACAACUCAGUAGGAGACUUCUUAAUAAAAAGAAAUAUAAGACUACUCGAUAUUAGUAUUGAGAAAUUAGAUAAUGAUCAAUAAAACUGAAUAUCAAUCGUAAUGUUAUUUCUUUUGAGCCAAGAGAGUACAAUCAUUAUUAAGCAGGUACUGGUGUAACAUUAUUCCUUCCUCCGUUUGGUUCAGAGUUAAGGGAUGGAAUAACCCCUUAACUCCGAAGUUAUUCCCAAACACUCAAUUUGAGAGUUGGGGUUAGCUAACCCCAUCUAUAAAUGGGCUAUUACGGGAUAGCCCAUUUGGGGUGGGGUUAGCUAACCCCACCUAACCCCAACCAAACACUAUUUUCUAUUUAUAAUAACCCACUAUCCUUCUUAUCCCACCUACUCCAACCAAACACCAUUUUUCACUAUCUUGGACUAACUCCAACUCCUAACCAAACACAAAAAUACUCUAACCCCACCUUAACCCUGAACUUAACCCUAUCCCUGAAAUAACUAAUUUUUCCUUAACCCCAAACCAAACAGUAUUGGCAGUACCUCUGCAUUUCGACUUCGUAGUCAUGAAUAUUAAGACAGUUCUUAACUAGAUGCUAACAUUCUCCAAAGACCCAAAGUGUCAACAAAACAUUGUCCAAAGCAUUCACCAAAGACCCUAAGUGUCAACAAAACAUUGCCCAAAACAAAAGGAGAGCAACAGCUAUAAGCAAACAGAUGAAAGUAUGGGCUGUUCAAAAUUUCCUGUAAAUGCACUUCACUCAAAUGAUCGACAAAAGGAAAUGGAGGUUCUUGGUAUUAUUUAAGAUUAAGUUAGUUUGAGCAUGAUUCACUGAUGGAUCAGCCACAAUUGAGACCCAUAAAAUUGAGCCAUUUAUUAGUAUGCCAUAUAUAUCUUCUUGCAAUCACUGUUUUCAUAAGAACUUACUGCCGUGCUAAAUUUAUAAGGAGUGAAUUUCUUAGCCAAUAUGAUUAGAAAGAUUUAAGAGACGGCAAAGUCGAAACUGAAUAAACACAUAACCAGAUGAACACGAUCUAAACUCUGAAGAGAGGGUGACAAAGACCUAGUUGCUGUACUGAUAUACAAGUUCUCUUCUUGCACUUACAAUAAAUAUCAAGAGAAAACCAACUAAAAGCUUGUUUUCCAGGACAUCUUGAGAGUUGUUAACUGCAAACCAGUGAAUAUUUCGAAACAAUCUGACAAAGUAAGAAAGGGCAUCGAGAUGUUGACCAUGGUAGCAACAAAGAAGAAAAAGUUUUUGCCACAUCAUUGACCAUAAAUAUUCUUCUGUGAAAAAAUGUUCGGGAAAAAAAAAAUUCUUAUCAGAAACUCUGCUAAAGUAAGAAGCAGAAGAUACCAAGAGGCCAGUUACUGCAGCAAGAAAAUAUAAGAGGUGUAAGAUGGACAAUUUUAAAUGAGGAACAGCACUUUCUAUGCAUGAAUAUUUAAGGGCACAUGGCACUUCAAAGGCACAUUUGUUGCUUGGAUUGAGUUAAUCUAGCCUAACUCGCAAUAUCAUGUGACAGGUUUGAUGCAUGAAUGUGUAAGUUUUUCUUCAGUACCAAAAAAAAACAAUAACAUGUGACAGGUUUGAUGCAUGAAUGUGUAAGUUUUCUUCGGUACCAAAAAAUCGAAAACAGAUCGCCUUGAUUAAUGGCUAGGAUGCUAGUGUGACAACACAAAUGAAUCUUCAUGUAGAAUUUUCUUACUUAAUCUGGAUCAGUAAUUUCCACAAUUGCUGUCUAUUACACAUAUAACGACUAAUUUAGGAUACAUAGCUGUCUGCAAAGGCGUCUAAGGGACCUAAGACUGCGAACCUUAUAGUCAAUUUUCAAUAAUUAUCAUGGAAUUAGAAGAUCACUCUUUAAUACGACUACUUGACAAGUGAGCAUUCACAGUGAUUUAUUGCAAUAUAUGAAGGUGGUAAUAUUAUCUUGUAUGUGUAAAUCACCCACUCUGUUUUUCCUAUGAUGACAAUGUAAUGAAGAAUAACCCUUGAUGUCUACAAGAGACUCUUACUAAAAAUUUCAGUGUAUCAAAAAUCGCAUACUCCAAAACCUUAGUCAGGAAUCAGGAUGUCAGAAAAUCAAGUUUUUAGGAUUAAGUAGUUCAUCUGCACCAACAUCAAAAUCAUUUUUAGUUUUUCCCCAUUACUUGACAGACUGAAAAUGCCUGCAAUCGAGAACAUCAAGAUAACACAAGUUAUAAAUCCACAAUUUUUUUUUAAAGCAAGAAUACAUAUUUCCCUUCAUUCUUAUCAUCUCCAAUAUAGUUUACAUAUGAUUAAGACAAGCUAACAAAGAGAGGAUAAGAUAAUAGCCAAAGUAACAACUGUAUGAUACUCAGAUUUAAAGGUGUCUAUAUGGUAUUGCUGGUCAGAAAUGAUAUGAUGAAAUAUUGACCUAUAAUAGAUAACUGCAAUUUGUAAAAAUCCAAAAACAGGCAAUUCAGUUAGGUGAAUUUCUUUCUCAUUUUUAAGUCGACCAAAUUCUAAAGAACAAGAAGGGACUUUAAAUCCUAGAUAUUGAUACACUACGUCAUCAUUGCAGGUUCAUAACAAAAAAGAUCUUUUUUAAACAACGGUCAUAGCUUCGUAAAAUUUCAAUGCAAGCACUUAGUAUCACAGGAAAUCAUAUCUUCCCAGGAAUUAUGCAAGUUCAGCUCAACAUAAAGGAUGACUGCACUGUGAAUCCAACAGUCGAAAGCCACAAAUUUAGCGGUUCUGUAUUGUAACAAAAAUACGCAGAAUAACAACACUAGAUAUCAGCACAGAUGUAUUAGUUAGGUCCUAGAAAAGCACAAGCUACGUGAAGCCUUCUCUUGUUUCAUAACAUAUUUGUUCAUUCUCUAUGUCUGGUCAACAUUCCUAUCUAAAUGUGCCAAAAAUAACAGUCAAUUAAAAUAGUGCCAAAUGAAUUACUUUUACUUCAAACCAACUUCACGUGGUUACACACAUAUGCAAAUCAACAGUUCAACAUGCAUCAAAGCACUUUUAUGGACUCAAAUAAUUGGAAAAUAAAACAGCGAGAACAAGGAUGAGUAAUUACAUGUUUGCUCUAGUUUUUGUUGUUUUUGAUGUUGAAACGGUCUUUCUUUAUUCAUGGGCAAUGAGUUUCGACAUAUUGGGUGUAUCUGUAUUUAUCGAAGCAUUAAUUUUCGUGCUUAUCCCAAUUGUGGGUUCAGUUUAUGCAUGGCGAAAAGGAUCGUUCAGAAAAAUAGUAUUUCUAACAACUAUAGUACUUAGUAAGUUCUUCUGACUGUAAAGAAUGAAAAUUUGAUUGUAAUGGCUGCCCACACCGCUAUUACAUAAAACCUAAAGAUGCAGGUGCUAUGCAUAACAUUUGAACCAUACAACAUUUGACAUUAAGGAAAUUUUACAACAACAACAGUGCAUGAUCAAACAGAUUCCGAUACAAAGAAAUGGAAAUACCACUACAUUUGCAGUAAUUCAUUCCACAAAUCCCACAACUUAAUGAAAAUCGUCGUAGCAGUAAGACAAUCGGUAGAAUUUCACAAUCCGAUCAAACUCGUUAAGCAUAAGCUUCGUUAUCCCCAUUGCUGUGCCCGUAACAAUUUGUCUUCCUUUCGACUAGGAUUAACACCUCGACACCCCAAAUCCAAGCAAAAUCGACUAAAAACAAGACGUAACGUAGAUCAAUUAAGCGGGAUAACGCACCAACCUGGCGUAUUGAAGAGACCAAUAGAAAUAUUGGCAGAUCUUCUCGAGGAUCGGGGUGCUGAUCUCGGGAAACGUCACCUCGCCGAGCUGCGUCUCCGCGAAUCCUCCUGCGUGGUGCGAUAGAAGAGAAACCGCAUCAGAAACCCUAACCCUAACCCUAGCGUGGAGGGAUCGGAGGAGGGGAUGGAACCUGGAGAGGUGAGCAUGUUGCGGAUGGUCUGGGAGACCAUGGCGGCCUUCUUGUCGACGACGAACUCGAAACCCUCGGCGCUGAUGAGCUUCACCGUGUCCUCCUUCUUCAUCUCUUCGUCGCCCUCUCUUCUCCUUCCUCUCCCUCUCUCCCUCUCCGCCCCCGCUUUCCCCCGAUCGCUAGAAGCAGUUUUUCUGUUACGACCUUUUCUUUUCUUUUUUUUCUUCCCUGCCCUCUUAGUCUUCGUCGUUUGGAAUUACGGAGAGAUGAUGUUACGAGCGGUGGUAAAGUAGGUUGAAAAAAAUAUACUAUUUAUUUUCACGAUGAAUCAAUUACGAUAUAUCUAUAUAUUUUUUUCUUAACUCUAUUUUUUUUAAUAACAUUAGAUAAAUCUUAAUAUCAAAAUAAGUCUUAGUUUUUUACUGUUUUGGUGAACUAAGAUAAUAAUGUUAAAUAUAAAAUUAUAUAAGUAUCGUUCUCUAAUAGCUUAAAAUUUUAAAGUACAAUGAUUAUUUUAUAUAGUAUCAGAGGAAAAGAUUCUGAGUCAAGUCAUGCUAGAUCCCUAACAUAAUUAAGUUCUUCCCAUUUCAUUCAAAUUCACGUCAUGAUCCUUGCAAAAAGUCUCGAAUCCAGACAUGAGUAUUAAAUAUAAAAUUAUAUAAACACCGUUCUCUAACCGCUUAAGCUUUUAGAGACAGUUAAAAAUAGGUAUGGUGAGCUAUUUGGUUGUAUGUAUUUCUAACUGCAUUGCAGUUGAAAGUACAUACAUCUAUUAAAUUUUUAUUUGGUUUAGUGUAAUUAGACCCAAUUGUUGGAGCUGCAUCUGCACGAGAAGGCUCAACUACAGCAGUUUGACCGGAGUCGGCUCACCGAUUAAAAAAAAAAAAUGAAGUGUGAUUUUUUUCCUACGCUUUUUUUUUUUCAAAAAUACCUAUUCAUGAAAUUUGAUGGAGUUUAAUAAUGUCUAUUAGAGUCGAUAAAUUUUGUUCAUACGCUUCUUUUUUUUCAGUAUGUUACUUUAAUAAUAUCUUAAUUUUUAUUUUGACAAAUCUAUAAUAUAUUUGCAUUUAAAAUUUAAUAAAAUCAUACAUAAGUUUAUAAUAUAUAAAUGAUAUAUAAAUAUCAAAAUCUUAAUUAAUAAUUAAAACAUGAUUACAUUAUGCUCAGGAGAGGUAAUCUCACAUUUCUAACUAAAAAUUGGCAGAAUUUACAAAUACAAAUCUCAACUACAGAUUACUAAACAGAAAAAAUAUAACUGCAGUAAUUGCAACUCCAUAAACCAAACAGAUUAGAUGUAGUUAUGACCGUAGAUUUUACAACUGCAUGUAUUUCUAACUACACUACUUUUAUAAUUACAUCUAACCAAACGGCUCCGUAGUGUACAACGGUUGUUUCACAAAUAAUCCGGCUCAUCUCAGCCCUCCGUCUUGUUCCAUAUUCUAAUCUCUACCAACAAAAAAUUUACAGUAUUUUUUGUUAUUUAAAAAUAACUGCGAGCGCUGGAAAGUUAAUCUUAUAAUUUUAAAAUAAAUAAGCUGUAACUUUAAAGUUAAUUCAAUCUAAUUCUCACAACUUUUUGUGUGUUGUAAUUUGUAAUGAACUAAUUCGAUUUUCUCGUACCUACCGAGUAUGACCAGAAUUCAUUGGCGUUUAAAAUUUCAUUUCCAAUAAAAUGCUAAUUAAUCAGCAGUAAAAUAACAACAUUUAUCACACAUUCUCUCUAAAUACUAAUCUUUAUUCGAUACCACGCACUAGAUGAAUAUGACCAGAAUUCAUUGGCUCUUAAAAUUUCAUUUUCAAUAAAAUGCUAAUUAUUCAGCGAUAAAAUAACAACGUUUAUCAUGCAUUCUUUCUAAGUAAUAAUUUCCAUUCAGUUAAUAUCGAGCAUCAGAUGAAUGACAGUAGCUAAUAGUGCUACAUAAUUAUUUUUUAAUCUUUUGGCUGUUGUAAUAGCAAUUCAAUAUCUUACAGUGUUAAAAUCUUAUUUUCAGCAUCUGUCUCGCUUAUGAAAAAUAUUUGUUCUCGUUUACAAAAUUUUCUGUUGGGAUUUACUCAGUUAACCUACUUGAAACUCACUCGUAAAUCAUAAUCCAACUACAAUCGUUUAAUAUAGAUUUAAUAGUCAACAAAACAUAAUGAUUUGAAUCUGUGAACAUAGUUUUCUAGAUCGUACAAGCUCAGAAUGGGCUCGGAUUGGGAGCAAUUGUAACCUUGAACGCAUGUCGGUCCUGAACUGAUGACUAAUUAAAAUUGUAUAAACAAUGUGCACGUAUUUUAAUUCAAAUUAUUAUGUUGCUCAUAUUCAUUCCGUUCAGAGCAAAUUGCAGCAGAUUCCUCACUAAUCCAAGCCGUUAUUGUUCGUAAACCAUGCAAAAAAGUUUGUGGGUUGGGUUAUAGUAAUCGGUGUGAUUUUUAUUCGCUAUUUCUUUAAGGGGAAAAUUCCAGAUACUCUUCCUGUGAUUUCGCACUUUCUCAAUUUAGUACUAUGUGGUUUAAAGUGUAUCAAGUUAGUAUCUUGUGGGCUAUGGUUUCGUACUUUCUCACUUUAGUAUCAUGUGGUUUAAUAUUUUAUUAAAUUAUAUACAAAAAACUUCAGAUACCCUAUAUAGUUUUAUCAAAUAUUCAUUUUAAUACCCUUUAGUUUUAAUUUUGUCAUUGAUUUAACGAAAAAAAUUCUGAAAUAUAUAAUAAAAAUAGAAAAAUAAAACUAUAGGAUACUAACUUGAUAAAAAAAUAAAACCACAGAGUACUAAUUUAAUACAUUUUAAAUCACAAAGUACUAAAAUAAAAAAAAAUAGAAAACUAUAGUUUUAUUUUUCUAUUUUUAUUAUAUAUUUCAGAAUUUUUUUCGUUAAAUCAAUGACAAAAUUAAAACUAAAGGGUAUUAAAAUGAAUAUUUGAUAAAACUAUAUAGGGUAUCUGAAGUUUUUUGUAUAUAANGGAUACUAACUUGAUAAAAAAAUAAAACCACAGAGUACUAAUUUAAUACAUUUUAAAUCACAAAGUACUAAAAUAAAAAAAAAUAGAAAACUAUAAAAUAUUAAUUUGAUAUAUAUUAAAUUAUAUGAUAUUAAAAUGAAACAAUACGAAAUUAAGGUGGGGUAUUUGAAGUUUCGUCUUCUUUUAACGAGCAACCACCCAAUCAAUCAGUGGCCUAAUUUUUUUUUUCUUUUAAGAAAUCCCACCCAUUCAAUCAGAUUAUUAUUAUUCUAUACUUAUAUUCUCUUUCCAGAGUAUCUUCACUAUCUCAGAUGGCCAUAUGACUAGUGUGUCACGCAAUUAUAUUUUGUUAAAUCAUUUUCCCUCUCUUUCUUAAUCUCAUUCAUUACCUUAACAACCCGUCACGUGAUGUGGGAACCAUUACUUAAUUUAGGGCAAAAAUUUUAUAGGGAUCGUCCACAAACUAAAUAACUUUUUAGUUUAUGGACGAUGCGGAUAGACGCCGCGUGGCCCUCUCCUACGAGAAAAAAAAAAAAAAGUGGGCCUCAAUUUUUAGAGAGAGAGAAAGUGAUGGACAGGGAAGGCGAGGAUAGGCGCGCGCCAGCCACGCGGCGCCCAUUCGUAUUGUCCUAAAUUUUUAGUUUGGAGAUAAUGUCCAUAUAAUUUUUAUCCCUUAAUUCGCUAGUUCUCUACUCCAUUAAAAUUAUCCUAAAAGCUCCUUUUUCUUCGGACAUUUUGUCGAAACAAUCUUAUAAAAAUUUAGAUUUAGAUAAAUAGUUUUCUAAAUUUUUUUUUGGCAAAUUGAUCUAUAUUUUGUCAAAUAAAACAGUGAAUCGUUUAUCGUCUUUAUGAAAACUGUGAAUUAUUUAUCGCCUCCUAUUUUUUCAUAAAAGCGUUCACCAUAUUUUCCUCAAUGUAUAUCUCUCUUUUUUUUAUUUUUUAUUUAUAUCCUAACAACCAUAUAAACAUUUCAAUAAAUUAAUACAAUUUUAACUAUCUAAAAAAUCUUACUAAUCUAUCCCUACAAUCCUAACAAUUAAAUUAAAACUCUAAUAAUUCACAUACAAUUUUAACAACCUUACUCUCUUUUUUUUUUUUCUAUUUUUCAUAUAUAAUCCCAACAAUCAUAUAAAAAUUUCAACAAAUCACAUUUUUUUAAUUUUUUAUAUAUAAUUCUAACAAUCAUAUAAAAAUUUUAAUAAAUUAUAUACAAUCUUAAAAGUAUAAAAAAAAUCUAAAAAAAUGAUUCACCGUCUUAAUAGAAUAUUAUGAAGACAGUAAAUUAUACUCUUUCUCAACUUACUAGAGUUUUGUAAAAUAAUUUUAUGAAUUUUUAAUUUUGAUAAUUAAAUUUUUAAAAUUUUAUCAAAAGUUUGAUUCACUAUUUUUCAGUAAAAUUACUAAUUAAACAAUCACCGGUGAUAAUUUUUAGAUAAUUUGAUGAAAAUAUUAAAUAAAUACUCUAAAAAAGAGUAAAUUUUACGCUCUAAUUGAAAUAUAUACAUAGCAUUACUUAUUUCCUAAAGUGUCAAAAUAUAAAAAACUUAUUUUUUUUUACUUCUCCGAGUGAAACUAAAAUAUUAAAACGAAAACUAAUAUAAAUUUAACUUUCUAUUUUUUUCCCUGCAUUUUAAAGCCUGCAAAAUCACAGAUAAUAUGUUCCUGGAGAAUAGUUGUUCAAGUUGUAAUUUUAAUUAAAGAAAUUGGAAGAUUAUUUAUUAAAAAUUUAAAAUAUAGAAAGUUUGGUAUUUUUAUUUCUUAAAAAAUGGUCCAUCCCUAUCUCGCCCGUGUCUCUCUCUCUCACUCCCCUGCGACUCCACCUGCCAUUAAAGCAUACACAGUGCCGUACAGUGUGUGCUCAGGUGGACCAUCACCUCGGCAUCCGUGUUUCGACGGGAAACUCGGGCGCUCUCCCUUGCCCCCACUCUUUCCCCCUCUUCUCAAGCAAAAGAUAUUCACACACACACACACACACACACACACGCAUACGCAUACACUCUCUCUCUCUCUCUCUCUCUCUCUCUCUCUCUCUCUCUCUCUCUCUCUCUCUCUAACCACUGCAGAGAGAUUCAGAUACAGCACAAAACCCAAAGAACAAAGGCUCACAAUCACAGCGCUCCUCACUAACUCUCUCUAUCUCUCUCUCUUUCUCUGCGGAUACAGUGAUUUGAUCGCAUUAACUUAACUGCAGCAGGCGACGUCACGGCCACCGCACCCUUCCAAGCUGCCCUGUACGCACCUAACCCGUUUCAGCAGCUUUUUCAAUACACCCGGCCCACCGUAGGCAUCCAAGAACCCAGCCUUUAUUUGACUUUUCUUCGCACUCACAGUCCUGUUGCUGUAGAAGCUUUAAAUCCAGAAAUAGAUCGAACGGCAGAUUACGUACCGUCCAGCAGUUUCAUACUAUACAACUUGCCAUCGGAGGGUGGCAAUUCAGUUCCUAGUUUGGGAGCCCAUUCUAUUCUAUUCAAAAUGAGUUUGGGAUCGAAAUGCUCUAUUAGUAAACAAUUCGAAAUUUUCGAUAAACGAGUCGAACACCAGUUAGGAUCAGCUCGAUCAUAUUCGGCUUGAAAACAGUUCGAAUAUAUAUAUUUUAUAUUUAUAUAAUUUGUAUAUUUUAUAUUUGUACAUAUUAUUUAUAUAUAAUAUAUAUUUUUAUUAUUUGAUUUUUAGUUCUACCUAAAUAUAAAGUCUAACUCAAUUAUAAAAUUUUUUAUUUAUAUGUAAAAUUUUACAAAUUAGAUAAAAGUGCAAUGAAUAAAAACUCAUAAAUUUAUUUACUAUAUAUAUAUUUAAUUUUUUUAAUUUAUUAUUCAUAAGUUAGUUUGUGUUUGGCUCGUGGACAUUUUCUACUUGCAACCACUAAAACAAGAUUUUAUUUUUUAAGCAUGAUAUAUACUAUAGUGCAAACUAGCUGACAUCUUUAUUCAACAUAUAUA
Molecule: long non-coding RNA, 43381 nt
Filed under: Ananas comosus (pineapple)
Lineage: Eukaryota; Viridiplantae; Streptophyta; Magnoliopsida; Poales; Bromeliaceae
Description: long non-coding RNA (ACOM_LNC032096)
Source: RNAcentral